AGGGCGUCUGGGCCUUUCAGGAAAAGAACAGAUAAAAAAACUAGGCAUCAAUCACUUAAGUAACCUGCCCAAGGACAGAGGUCUAAUUGGAAUACAGAUCCAGCUGAUUUUGGAUUCUUGGGGCUCAUUUGCUCAGUUGAGAUCAUCCAGGCAGUACGCAGGCAAGGACCCC
This is a long non-coding RNA of Neogale vison (American mink), 172 nucleotides long. RefSeq lists it as uncharacterized. The record is from RefSeq and is a predicted model, not a curated record. The transcript has 3 exons. Lineage: Eukaryota; Metazoa; Chordata; Mammalia; Carnivora; Mustelidae.